GUUCUAGAUCUCUUAUUCUCCUUCUCCUUGGUCUUAGCCUCUUCUAUCUGCUGAGCAUGGAUCAUGAGCUUGGAUAUAUCCAUCUCCUUAAUCAGUAUUGUGGUCCUACACUCCUUGACUAUGCUGCUAGACAUACUCAACAUAAACUUACUUAUCUUAGAUUUGUUAUCUGUUACCAUAUGAGGGGCAUAUCUAGCUAACUGAGUAAACUUGAGAGACUACUCUUUCACUGUCAUGUUG
RNAcentral lists this long non-coding RNA (240 nucleotides) under Capsicum annuum. RNAcentral describes it as "long non-coding RNA (CANN_LNC022353)". The record is from RNAcentral. Lineage: Eukaryota; Viridiplantae; Streptophyta; Magnoliopsida; Solanales; Solanaceae.